This is a long non-coding RNA of Penaeus indicus, 596 nucleotides long. RefSeq lists it as uncharacterized. NCBI's taxonomy places the organism in Eukaryota, Metazoa, Arthropoda, Malacostraca, Decapoda, Penaeidae. The record is from RefSeq and is a predicted model, not a curated record. The transcript is spliced from 5 exons.
AAUCACGCUUGACUGCCUCAAGUUAAAAGUGCUUGUGGGAGUUUUUUACAAAUGGUGGAAGAUUAAAUGUUUCUUUGUAAAACGCAUGGUAAGCACAUCUUGCUGUGUGCCUGAUAAGAUCAACACUUCAAAAAAUUAUAAUUAUUUUAAAGUAAAUAAAUAUACAGAAUUAAUAAUUUGAUUGGUAUCUUUCAGAGGCUCACCCUGAUCUUCAGAAUGUUGUAGGAUCAUCUUCUCCAAGGUUCCUUGAUGUGAAGUGGAUAUGAACUGGCUAUGAAGUUAAGGUCUUUGGGUCUUGCUAAGAUUCUCCCGUAAAGUGGCUGAAAGAAAAAUAAAAGGUCUUGAGGUGUGAUGCAUUGGUCAACAUGAUGGGAAUGAACCCUUAUGUAAAUGCACCCUUGAGCCUUCUGAUAGACAGAACUCCUCCCAAUGUAGUGGAGGACCAGGAUGUAUGGCGACUUGUCUAAGGAAGGGCACUGGCUUGCUCCUGAGUAGGGAGUUCCAGAUGAAAGCCUAAGACUUAAGUUAUGGAAAUUAAUUUAUUUCAAGAUCUUGCUGUACUUUUAUACCAAUAAAUUAAAUUUUAUAUUUCAAAA